AUGAUUUCUAAGAGUCUCAGAGACCUAGGAUCCACAAAAUCAAAACAACAAAACCAAGCCUUUGUGCACAUCUGUGGUUGUGACCAGUUGGAGAGACAUUAGGAGAUGAGAUACUAUGUUCACUCCUCACAGCUGUACCAGGGACCUGAGAUAUUCCGUCACUAUUCUAUGAAUGGGGAAACUGAGGCACAGAGAGGUUAGAGAUAUGCCUGAAGCCACACAGCUUGCAAGUGGUGGAUCUGGGAUUUGAACUUGUCGAUCUGGCUGCAGAGCUGAGCUCUUGGAGACUAGGUUUUACUGCCUAGUAGCAUGUAAGCCUGGAACUGCCGGCAGUCAUUUUGUAAGUUUGCCGAGUGAACCUCAAUGAGCAUGAAGCAGAGAGGAAAGCAGUACUAAGAGAUGCAAAAGAGUCUGUGUUCCAGCAAUGGGAUCUGAAGUCCUGGAUCAAACCUUACCUGGAGACAAGAUUUACCCAUCAGACAUGCCAGUUAUAAGACCCAAAUUUACCCUUUUUGGGGGAUUGAGUUUGAAUGAGUAUUUUUGUUUGUUUGUUUUGGCAUCAGAAAGACUCCUGAUUAAUACACAGUGUGACGCUGACCAAGAUGCUUCCUUUCUCUAGGACUCAAUUUUCUUAUCUGUAAAGUAAAGGGUUCAUCAACAUUCUUUGGUUGAAUCUUACCUGAAACAUUUUGUGAGCCUUCACCAAUCUCAUCUAAGCCUUUGUUUCCAUAGAACAAAGCCCUUUAAGAAAGGAGGGGAAAGUGUCAUGGAGUCUUACUGUCCUGAGUGCAAAUAUGGUCUCUGUAUUGUCCUUAUCUGUUCAUUUUCUGCCUCUCAGUACUAGAAUGAAAACUCUGGAAGAAGAAGGAAUUUUGUCUGAUUUUCUUACUGCUGUAUCCUCAGUAUUUUGAACUGUUUCUAACUCAGAGUACAAUCUCAAAAUUUUUUUUGAUUUUCAUAUAUCUGUAUAUAUAUUUGUUAAAUGAGUGAAGAAAUCCUUAUAUGUCUUUAUGGAUAACAAGCUGGCUUGGGCAUGGUUUUCAGUUAUGGGUCCUUCCUUUUGUGCGGGAGUGGUUAUGGAUGGUAUUUGUUCCUCUCUGCUUCAUAAUUCUCUCAUCCAUUUUUGACUUAAUGGACAGAAACAAUAGAUGAAUAAAAUGGAAUCAUCUCUGAACAAAACACAGGGUUUUAAUGCUUCUUAAAUCCUGUAACAUAUUAUCUCUUCUAAACUCACAGUAAGCAGUUAAGUUCUUAUGAUGGAUGAAUUUCAGUUUCAAAUGAUAUAAGAGAGGACUGUGUCUUACUUUCCUUCCUAUUUUACUUAUAUUUCAAUAUCUUAGUAGAGCUAUUAUGCGAAAUUGAUCCCCCAGCAUUAGGAAACAGGAUGUUGCUGACACUGUUAUAUGCUAUUAUAUAAUGUACUAUUAUUUGUCAUUUUUGUCAUGACAUCCAGCCCAAGCUUCUCUCUUGCAAAUAAACCUCAUUUUUGUUUUGGGUGG
RNAcentral lists this long non-coding RNA (1499 nucleotides) under Homo sapiens (human). Its description in RNAcentral is "HSALNT0401792". Lineage: Eukaryota; Metazoa; Chordata; Mammalia; Primates; Hominidae. The record is from RNAcentral.